Molecule: ribosomal RNA, 460 nt
Filed under: uncultured bacterium
Lineage: Bacteria
Description: partial 16S ribosomal RNA
Rfam family: Bacterial small subunit ribosomal RNA
Source: RNAcentral
CCUACGGGUGGCAGCAGUGAGGAAUAUUGGUCAAUGGACGAGCGUCUGAACCAGCCAAGUCGCGUGAAGGAUGACUGUCCUAUGGGUUGUAAACUUCUUUUAUAUGGGAAUAAAAUGUUCCACGUGUGGGAUUUUGUAUGUACCAUAUGAAUAAGGAUCGGCUAACUCCGUGCCAGCCGCCGCGGUAAUACGGAGGAUCCGAGCGUUAUCCGGAUUUAUUGGGUUUAAAGGGAGCGUAGGUGGAUUGUUAAGUCAGUUGUGAAAGUUUGCGGCUCAACCGUAAAAUUGCAGUUGAAACUGGCAGUCUUGAGUACAGUAGAGGUGUGCGGAAUUCGUGGUGUAGCGGUGAAAUGCUUAGAUAUCACGAAGAACUCCGAUUGCGAAGGCAGCUCACGGGACUGCAACUGACACUGAGGCUCGAAAGUGUGGGUAUCAAACAGGAUUAGAUACCCGGGUAGUC